GGCCCCAUGGUGUAAUGGUGAGCACUCUGGACUUUGAAUCCAGCGAUCCGAGUUCAAGUCUCGGUGGGACCU
Molecule: transfer RNA, 72 nt
Filed under: Loxodonta africana (African savanna elephant)
Lineage: Eukaryota; Metazoa; Chordata; Mammalia; Proboscidea; Elephantidae
Description: tRNA-Gln (TTG) (tRNA-Gln-TTG-6-1)
Rfam family: tRNA
About the family: Transfer RNA (tRNA) molecules are approximately 80 nucleotides in length. Their secondary structure includes four short double-helical elements and three loops (D, anti-codon, and T loops).
Source: Rfam by way of RNAcentral